UGACACUGAGGUAGCUUUGUCUCAGGUAUUCCAUGGUCAGUUACUGCCUUCUUAUGCUCAUGUCACAUGCCUUGCUGAUUCAGGAGCAACGCAUGCAUUCUGCAGUCACUCAUUUGCUGUCAAGCACAAGCUGCGCAUGCGUCCAUCAGGUACCAUGCAAACAGUAAAGCUGGCAGAUAACUCCUCCUCUCUGCACAUCCUUGGAUCAGUCAACACUCAGCUUCAGYUAGGAGAUGCCCGCAUCAGCUUUGAGGCAUUCGUCGUAUCAGGUGAGACUGCCGCUUUUGACCUUAUUCUGGGAGACACUGUUUUCAGCAAAUAUGGGGCUGCUCUGCGUUACGACCCCAAGGUGCUUGAACUAAAUGUCAGAGGUUUGAAGCACCUAGUUCCCAGUGCAACAUACCCAMG
This 408-nucleotide long non-coding RNA is filed under the name Dunaliella salina. Its description in RNAcentral is "long non-coding RNA (DSAL_LNC000020)". Lineage: Eukaryota; Viridiplantae; Chlorophyta; Chlorophyceae; Chlamydomonadales; Dunaliellaceae. The record is from RNAcentral.